GAUGAUAUGAUGCUCAUGUCUGAUUCUCUUUCCAACCUAGAAGGUACAGCACCUAGACUGCUGCGACAUCUACAGGAGAAAGGAGGGCUUGUGUACAGCACCAAAGUUCAGAGACCAGGUUAAUCUCCUCUAAUGUCCUUGUGAAUUGGGUGCACAUUCGACCAAAACCUGUUACUCUCUGGGUGGGCACAGAGCUCCCUAUUAGUACUGCUACUGGCCUCCUAUGGAAAGUACAAAUCAUGAACUGGAACUGGUUUGAAUACAGUUGUAAUGACCACUGAUGGCAGUUGAUCUCCUCAGGCUUGAGGCACAAGGCAGAAGAUCAGGGGCACAGAGUGAGACAUGAGCCGUCGGAAGCUGCCCUGCCUUUUCCCCUUCACAGGAUACCCGGAGACACCAUGUGGUGUGAGGCAUUCAUUUGCAGAUUCUUUUGGCUGCCCUGUAUCCCUCUCGAUCUCUUAUUUCUGGAAACUGUGAAUCGAUGCUGGAUAUGGCCUUCAGAGUGCAUCAGUUUAAUCCCUACCUGAUGCCAUCCUCAGCUGUUUAAAACAAUAUAAUCCACCCCAGAAGCCAAUUUGGGAAGCCCUGGCCUUCUCUGCUUCCUAAUUCUCUGGAACUCAAUGCAAGUACUUGCUUGAUACUAGGGCUCCAGGAGCCAUGGAAGCCAGCGCUAGAAAGUGGGGCUGUGAGAUGGAAGGGUCGUCUGCUGCUCAUGGAACUGCCAUCUGUACCCUGUACGACCUCCCUCCACUCUUCUUUGGUGUAAGAAGUAAAUAAAUCCCCAUCUAA
This is a long non-coding RNA of Manis javanica (Malayan pangolin), 789 nucleotides long. RefSeq lists it as uncharacterized. The record is from RefSeq and is a predicted model, not a curated record. Lineage: Eukaryota; Metazoa; Chordata; Mammalia; Pholidota; Manidae.